RNA transcript from Macadamia integrifolia, 2575 nucleotides. RefSeq lists it as uncharacterized. The transcript is spliced from 4 exons. Lineage: Eukaryota; Viridiplantae; Streptophyta; Magnoliopsida; Proteales; Proteaceae. The record is from RefSeq and is a predicted model, not a curated record.
UAACCCUUAAUAUAAAAACGGAAAAGUGGGAAGACGUUAUAUGGAGGCCUCUAACCGAGAGUCCAAACCUUUGAUAUUGUGAAAAGCUUUCCCUGUUCGUUUCUCUGUUCGAUACCCUCUCACUGAGAGUCCACCGCCGAUGACUGAUUCACUUCUCGUUGUUCAAACCUUUGGUCAGCCACAAGCCUCGUUUGGUUCUGGUUGUUCGAAGCAAAGAUGGAUGCAGUUGAGGGUUCUAACUCAAAAAUUGUUACAUGGCCUUCUGAGAUAUCUCACUACUAUUUGGAGCGUCUUCUGCACCAACAACAAAGUGGGAAGAAUGGGGAUAAUGGGUUGAAAAAAUAACAAUUUCAAUUACUCUCAACUGAAUUAUAUGAUAGAUUUCAUAUGACAUAUGUCUGGGGAUAGUGCCGCAAUCACUACAGGAUAUGGAAAGCAAGGCUGAAGUCUCUUGGUGACAUGCAAAAAAAGUGGAAUGGGUUGGAAUGACCAUGAGAAGCGGUUUGAUGCACCACAUCAUGUGUGGAAUGAAUUCAAGAGCAGAGAUUUUGGAAAGAGCAUAGCGUGCUUUCCAUUCACCUAAAAGUUUCCGAUUGGCUUUGUAAUGAAGUUGCUACCGGGGCUGGAUCUUCACACUCAUCUGAUGCUAUCAAUGAGGACCAGCCUUACAUUCCAGUGCCAAUUGAUGAUUUCAUUAGCAUGGACAAUUAUGACGAUGUUGAUGAAAAUGUUGGUGAAAGUGCCCGUUAUACUCCCAAUGCAAGUAGCAGUCGUUCCCGUGGUAGGCCUAGUUCAGGGGUGACAAGCAAAGAGAAGAAGAAGAAAGGAGGUGCAGAGAAGGUUAGUAGUCCUUUGAAGGUGAUAGCAAAUGCAAUAGUGGAGAUGGCCAAGCAAGACCCCCGGAAGGAAUUUGCAAAAAACUUAUGUAUUGAGAUUGAUGCACUUCCAGGAGUUGAGAUUGAUAAAAAAUUGCGUGCUAAACAAUUCUUCAUGCAACAUAAGGAAUUAGCUCCCAUCUUCUUGAAUGCCUCUUUGGCAAAUAAGCUUAAGGUGUUUGAACACUACAUGAAGAAUAUCAAAGAUAGUGGUCAAGACUGACGAGGUGAUGUAAUAUUUACUCGAAUUUAGCCUUAUGUUUUCAUUCUUUUGUGACUUAUAUGGGCUCUCUUUGGGUUUGGAUUAACGUUCAGCUUACCUUGAUAAAACAAAAAAAAAAAAUUCCUCUUUCCUAGUGUGCACUGUUUCCAUUAAUUUAUUGCAACCCUUUUCUUAUUUCUCCUCUUUGUUUUUGGUCGGUCAUUGAUUUUUCCCUAAUGUGAAUGUUGUGGAGGAUUUAAUUCAUUUGUUUCAUCCAGUUUUGUUUUUUGCUGGGUUGGUUCUGUUCUGUUUAUUGAUGAUACUCUCAGUAUUUUGUUUAGUAUUUGAGGUGAUGGGUUUGACAUUCUGGUGAUGUAUCUUGUGUCUGCAGAAGCUUCUAGUGUGCAUUUGAUUUCUCUUGUUUUUUAGGUAGACAGUUUAAUCUGUAUAAAUUUUGAUGGAUAUCUUAGCAGAGCAGAGAGGGGACAUGGGGUCCUUGCAUUGAAUAUUUUUGCUGAAAAGAGUCUGUUUGUUAUUUCAUAUCAAAAAACAAAUUGUUUUUGCUGGAAUUGUGCUUGUUAGAACAGUAAUUUUUUCUUUUAUGCUGCAUCCAAUUUGACUUUUGAAUAUGCACUUUUUUUUUUUGGUCUUCCUGUUAGUCUGCUGUAAUACAAAUGAAAUCAUAAAUUUUCUCACAAUUGUUACAUUGCAAUUACCUAUAAUUUCUAUCAAUCAAUUGUUGCAUGAAUCCAAAGGUUACAACAAUGCAGUAGCUGUCACUAUAAUUUCAAUCAAUUGUUGUGUGUCUUUCUAGCUGGAGAUUUCAAUGGCUUUGACCUCUGGUUUUUUACUUCUUCUUUAGGAACAGUAACAGCAAGCACUCCAUUCUACAUAGCAGCAGCCUUCACCUGAUCCAUCUUCGCAUUCUCAUGCAACUUGAACCUCCUCAAGAACUUGCCACUGCUACUCUCAUUUCGGUGCCAUUGGUCGUUCGUCUUUUCCUUCUCUUGGGCCCUCUCUCCACUGAUCUGAACUACUCUGCUCUUGAUCAACUUUCAAGAUGUGAGCUUCUGGGUCUCCUUCCAAUUCAUUUCGGGCAACAAAAAGGGAAGUUAAGAAGGGGAAGUCAUUGGAAUUGAAUGGAUCCCAGCAUCUUACGGACUCCAAUUCAUCCAUUACAUUCUAUCAAGAGCCACAUCUUUUCUUGUCCUCCCUUUUACCUUUAAAACUUCUGAACUAAAAUUAAGAAUGAUGAGAGGAAAUAAAACCAUAUUGUAUUCUAGUGUGCAUUUGAUUUCUCUUUUUUUUAGCUAGACAAUUUAAUAUGUAUAAAUUUUUUGUUUUUUUUUCUGUUGUUAGUGCUGAGCUAAAGGUUGUUUGUGAUAUGUGUUUGUUAUUUUGAUACAGAGAGUGAAGACACUCGAGUCUAGUGGCGGCUGGGGAAGCUGAGAUUUGAGAUGUUUUUUGUGGGUUGGAAAUGCAGUUGCAUGCCUUAGCA